This 381-nucleotide long non-coding RNA is filed under the name Mytilus galloprovincialis (Mediterranean mussel). The record is from RNAcentral. Lineage: Eukaryota; Metazoa; Mollusca; Bivalvia; Mytilida; Mytilidae.
GUUUUAUUCAAUAAAAAUGGUGUUUUUUUCUUUCAGUUUUCUCAUAAUAUCUCAAAAAUCCUUUCACAAAAUUGCAAGGAAUGUUGGUGAAUUAUUUAUUUCUAUUGACAUGAGCUCCCUUUCAAUUUUUAUAAAUUUUAGAUUUUACGUUUCCGGGUUUUAUUAAUUAAAAAGGGGGGAUUUUCUAGUUUUCAGACAUUAACACAAAAACGUUUUCAGCAGUUCUCAUGAAACUUUUCUGAAUUGUUUAUAUCUAUUGUUGUAAGCAACCUUUCGAUUUUUAUUUUUUUUUCGAUUUUAUGUUAUUCAGUUAAGGGGUUGAUUCAUUAAAAAAGACGGUAUUUUCCAGUUUUCGGACAAUAACUCAAAAAUGUUUUCAGC